Mangifera indica (mango) is the source of this 2812-nucleotide RNA transcript. It is a transcript of the gene named nucleobase-ascorbate transporter 2-like, with no coding region annotated. The transcript is spliced from 14 exons. The record is from RefSeq and is a predicted model, not a curated record. NCBI's taxonomy places the organism in Eukaryota, Viridiplantae, Streptophyta, Magnoliopsida, Sapindales, Anacardiaceae.
UAUAAAAUAUAAAUUCAUAAAUGAAUCUGAGAGAAUAUUUGAGGAGGUUGAGUUGUAAAAUUUAAUGAAACACAGAGGAAGCAAGCAACGGUAACAUUUGAGUUUGGAAGUUCUUUAAGGGGCAGUUUGGGGAUAUGUGAAAUGUUAACGGCAACUUUUGUGUAAGAUGAAAAGCAGAUGGUGAUUUGCAGAGAAGAGCUUUCUUAUUGUGGGGGCGCCAACUGCUUCAUUUUUCACUCUCUUCUUUCUACUUCUCUGUUAGACUUUUGCUCACUCACUCUCUUCCUUUCUCUAUCUUUGAUUCUUUUUCUCUUCCUGCUUUUUUCUUUUCUUUGUCAUUGCUUUGUCAAUCAAUUCCAUUGUUUUUAUUGCGUAAACACUCUUGAGACUGUGUCUUAUCUCUCUCUCUGUCUCUCUGUGUUUCUUUUUCUUUGUCAGUCUGAAUCCAUUCUUUGAUUCAUUUGUUAGAUAGCCAUUUGAGCCUACGAGCUAAAGAAAACCAUGGCAGCUCCAAAACCUGAAGAGAUUACUCAUCCGCCAAUGGACCAGCUUCAAGGCUUAGAGUACUGUAUUGACUCCAACCCGUCUUGGGGAGAGGCUAUAAUUUUGGGAUUUCAGCAUUACAUUUUGGCUCUAGGAACAGCUGUUAUGAUCCCUUCGUUUCUUGUUCCUUUAAUGGGAGGCUCAGAUGGUGACAAGGCGAGGGUGGUACAAACACUUCUCUUUGUAGAAGGGAUUAAUACACUUCUACAAACACUGUUUGGAACCAGGCUACCGACUGUCAUUGGAGGAUCCUAUGCGUUUAUGGUUCCAAUUAUAUCAAUAAUUCAUGAUCCAUCUUUGGCGAGUAUUGAGGAUCAUCAUGUGCGAUUUCUUUACACAAUGAGAGCAGUUCAAGGUGCUCUGAUAGUGGCAUCAAGCAUACAAAUCAUUCUUGGAUACAGCCAACUGUGGGGCAUCUGUUCCAGGUUCUUCAGCCCCCUUGGAAUGGUUCCAGUUAUUGCUUUGGUGGGCUUUGGCCUAUUUGAUAGAGGCUUCCCGGUGCUUGGGAGGUGUGUGGAGAUUGGCAUUCCUAUGCUAAUACUAUUUAUUGCCUUGUCACAGUACUUGAAGAAUUUUCUGACAAGACAAUUGCCAAUUAUGGAGAGGUUUGCUCUCCUGAUAUCCAUCACAGUGAUUUGGGCAUAUGCACACCUUCUGACAGCCAGUGGCACAUAUAAACAUCGUCCAGAACUUACCCAAUUGAAUUGCCGAACUGACAAGGCCAACUUGAUUUCUACUGCUCCGUGGAUAAAAAUCCCAUAUCCUCUUCAAUGGGGUGCUCCUACAUUUAAUGCUGGUCAUGCUUUUGGGAUGAUGGCCGCUGUUCUAGUUUCAUUGAUUGAGUCAACUGGAGCAUACAAGGCUGCAUCACGUCUAGCAAGUGCCACGCCACCUCCAGCUCAUGUGCUUAGCCGUGGCAUAGGCUGGCAGGGAAUAGGGAUCCUACUGGAUGGACUCUUCGGAACUUUGACUGGUUCUUCAGUCUCUGUAGAAAAUGUGGGGCUGCUUGGAAGCACUCGUAUUGGAAGCCGCAGGGUCAUUCAAAUUUCAGCUGGCUUUAUGAUAUUCUUCUCAAUAUUAGGAAAAUUUGGAGCUUUGUUUGCAUCAAUCCCCUUCACCAUAUUUGCUGCUGUGUACUGUGUUUUGUUUGGUCUUGUUGCAUCCGUUGGGCUGUCAUUUUUGCAAUUCACAAACAUGAACUCAAUGAGGAAUCUCUUCAUUGUCGGUGUUGCCCUCUUCUUAGGUUUGUCUAUUCCAGAAUACUUCCGUGAAUACACUGCCAAGGCUCUUCACGGCCCUGCUCACUCCAAGGCUGGAUGGCUUAACAAUUUCCUGAAUACCAUAUUCUUCUCAUCUCCAACUGUUGCACUGAUUGUUGCGGUUUUCCUAGACAACACACUUGACUACAAAGACAGUGCUAAAGACAGAGGCAUGCCCUGGUGGGUGAAAUUCCGGACAUUUAAAGGAGACCCCCGGAAUGAGGAGUUCUAUACUCUCCCUUUCAACCUCAAUCGUUUCUUCCCUCCUCCUUAAAGGAAAUGCAAUUUCAAAAGGCAGAUGUGAGAUCAAGAGCCCCAUCUUCAAGAUAAGGGAUAUAUGAUUUAUCCAACUGAGUUCCGCAGAGAAGAGUGACAAAGAGAUCCAUAUGUUUUUCCAUGGCAGAGAAAUGACAACUCCGUUUUCUCUUCCUUUUUCUAUCAUCAUAUGUAAAUUUCACUCAGUUGAGUUUGCCAGUCAUGUGUCAGUUUUACAAAAAUUUUCAACUUCGUAUUGCCAUCGGUGGAAUGUCUCCCAGUAUUAAUUUAAGGAAAAAGAAUGCCAAGAUCUGCACAUGCAUUCUGCCCACCUUGGUUGUCAAUAAGUGCUUCGACCAUAACCUCUCAUACGUGUACCCUUUGACCUUCCUCAACCAUCUUUCGUACUCUCUGUUCAAAAUCAUUCCAUCCUAUGGUGCUCUUCUCAGCCAAAAUUGCUGCAAGCCUUUUCUUAUUAGGUCUCAAGUUAGGAGCAUGCCCGCCACCGUAGUAAGUUCGGAAUCCAGACACCAGAGAUGACAGUUGGCUCCCAGAAUCAGUCAUGGCAAAGACAUCAGCAGUUGCACAGGCAAUGAAAUCCAGUGCUGCCAGCUGCACACAGAGAAAUUCUCUACUUAUGUUACUUCAUGCAAUGUUCAAAUACCAGCAAUAGAGUGAUUGAUUAAGCAUGUUUAAGUAACAUUUCCAAAGUUAUUCUGGUGAUAGAAGCCUUAAGAUUUUUUUCUUUUGAAUUA